CCUUUGAAUAAAAAAAAAACUUUUCUUGCUGCUAUUGUGUGUGUGUCUGUGUGUGUGUGUGAGUGUGCUUUCAAGUCAUUAUCUGAGAUGAUCAGCUCCAGUGCAGGUAUGCUCUUCAGUGAAGCAGAAGAUUGCAGUGAGCAAGAAGGAUCCUGAAAUCAAGGAGACCCCAGGAUGAGAAGCGAACCACCACGAACAACUAGCUCUCCUGAAGGUGACUGUGGAGAUGUGGGUAGGCCAUUAGCAGUGAUUUAACAUCUCCACAUCUACAAAGAUGGGCAUCACAUUCAUCAAUCUCCAGUCAACUGGAAUUCCCCUGGUUAGUCAAGACUGCUGAUAAAUUAUUGAAAGAGGCCUGGUGAGCGCUUCUGACAGCUUCUUCAGUACCUCUGGAUAAAUUCCAUCAGGUCCUAUAGACUUGUGACCAUUCAAAACAGGAAGGAGUUCACUCACAAUUUCCCACUGUGUUUUAAGGACUUCAUGUUGCUUCCUGUCACCACCUUACAAAUUAAGGGUCUAGGUAACCUGAAAACAAUUGCUCUUUCUAAUAAAGACUGAGGAAAAUUUUUCUGAGGAAAAACUUUCUUUUCCUCAGUCUUAUCCUCAUUGUUCAUAGCUGUGUUUCCCCUCACAUCCAAUAACGGAUGGAGAGUCUCCUUAUUUAUCGUUUUGUUAUUGAUGUAUUUAUGAAAGCAUUUGUUAUCAUCUUUUACUACACUAGCCAAAUUGAAUUCCACUUUGGCUUUGGAUCUUCUAAUUUUCUCCAUAUACAAUCUGACAACAGCUCUGUAGUUGCCUGCCCCUUCUUCCGAAGCUCCUAACUCCCUUUCAUUUCCUGAAUUCCUGACUAUGGACAUGGCAAAGCAUCUCUGUAACAGAAAACUUCUGAAUCUAUUUAAAAGAAAAAGGAAAAAUAGGAUUGAAUCAGAAUAUCACUAAGCUAGAAAUCAUAUGCACAAGUCACCAUGACACCUAAAUGGGAUCUAAAAUCCUAGCUAGAUAUAGCAGUAGUAACAUUAUCUCUUCUGUUACUGGCUUUCAUAUACAACUCUGAGAAGAGCUUUUCAACCAUAAAUAAUAGUUUCAAUUCAUCAGUUUGGAAUAAUACAAGUUAGAUUGUACCAUAUUGCCAUUAGAUAUACGAGAAGACUGAACUGAAGCCUGACAAUAAACUUCCUGGAUUUUUUUUUCUUAUCAAUAAUAUAAUAGAUUUCUAGUGUUACUGGGCUUGUCACAGAGAUGAAAAGAUUUCCAUCCUUCAAAAAGGAUGUCAUUUGUAGUGUCAAAUGAUGACACAAUGUUGUACUUUUCAAAUUUAUUUUUCCUGUGCACACUCUGUCAGUAGAAUGGAGAACAGCGUAAAAAUUUUCUCAUCAGCAGCCUUACAGUAUGUGAAAAUCAGGUAAAGGCACCAGAAGAAGGUCAAAUGUUAAACUGCAGUGUAAAAUGCAAUUUAGCAUUUGUUAUAGGCUUAGCAAACACCCCACUAAUGAACCAGACCUUUAUUAGAGUUCAUAUCACUGGUGAUUAAGCUUUCUCUGACAACUCAUUUCACCUCCUGCACUUUUGCAUUACACUUCACAAUAGGAAAAGAAUAAAAUAUUAAUGCCAACAAAGAUCAGACACUUUGUGUUCUUUAUUGCAACUUAAUGUCUGUAAUGUCUUCUAAUUUGAGUAACAUGAACUUUCUUUCAGUUCCCACAGGCUAAUUCAAAUAAAAAUAUAAAAUAUUCUGGCAACCAAAACUUAAACUGGUAAAUUAAUAGCAUAUCACUAAUAAGAUGAUUUCCUUAAUAAAGGAGAGGAAGACAACGAGAAAAUGCAGUACCUCAUCUAGUUCCAUUUCAUCAGGACUUUCCCAUGGUUUGAUAAAUUUUCCACGAGAUCUCUUCAAAGGCACAAUAACUAUGUAAUAACCUCUGUAAAAGAAAGAGUGGGACAAAAGUGAGGCUGAAGGAAAAGGAAAAUAAAUUGAUGGAGUGUGUCUGUUUGGAGGGGUUCAUAAGAUCUGUCUGUCAUACACUGAGAAAGAUUCCAGCCUUCCAAACAUAUUUGUAAAGAUUCACAUCCUGAAAACAAAUUCUGGAAUAAAAUAUUUAACAAAAAACGGUACUAAUUACCUGCCUUUUCGUUUGAAAAUAUAAAUAUGUAUAGGAAAAAUUAAUCACAAUGUUCUAGAAUGCCUGCAUAUUUGACUGCAGGUUAUUAUUUUGUUUGAAAUACAAGAUCCAUGGGACACUUGUGCCCUACUACCAUUAAUGUGGAAAGAAACAAAAUCACAAAAAUAAAAUAAUUCAAACCCCUAAAAUGAAACAUUACCCCAUUUUUUUCCCACUUUCAUAUAAAAGUAGAAUCGUAUGGUAAUAUUAUGUUACCAUAACAGAAAAUAAAACAUCAUAUCAUAAAUUCACACAUUCCACAUACAUACUCUUUACUUUUUAGUAUAAAUUACCAUCAGCUUUUUCUAUUUAAAUAUUAUUUUCACAGUCAUAGAUGUAUGUUCUCUUUACAGCUAGGAUUUGCAUAUCUUCAGUUUUCCACUCAAAAGUUUUUCUGAAAAUAUUUUGCCUCCUCUGCUCUCCUUCCUCCACUCUUGCCCAUUCCUCCACCAAACAUUUGCUAUUAAUGUGACUAAAUAAAUAGUAGAAUCACCACAGCAUGAAAUCCAGAAUGGUAUAAUAUGCUAUUCAAGAAGUCAAGCACUCUUCACCUCAGAGAAGGAAAGAAGCUGUUUCCAGUAACAUGGCCACUAAAGUGUCUCUUGGUCUCUAUUAUGGAAAAUAAUUUCAUUGUUUUCUUUUCCUGCCUCCUCCCCUCCUUCAUUUACUUAUUUAUUAGUAGUUAAUGGAGGAGUCUAAAGAAACAGACCUGCCUUAGAAUUAAUUGAAAACUAGCUCAGUCUAAACCAACUCUAUAAACUGUCUUUGUCUCAUAUCAGUGCACAGCACUGGUUCAUUUUAAUGGUCUAUUCUUAACUAAAGCAAUUUCCUCUAAAAUAAAUCUAACAACAAUCUGUAUUUUUAGCUACAGUUCUAAAUGCUUAAGUUCCUAACACUCAAUAGUGUUAAGAAAUUUCAGAAAUUUAUUUGUGGAACUGCAAAGCUCUAGCAGAAGGUACUAUAAACAAGUGUAGAGCACAGAUCUGUAACAUUUCUCUUGCUGAAGAAAAUCUGCAUCAUAUAUUCUUUACAGUAGCAAAGAAAAAUAGUCUUUAACAAUUAUGUUCUUAUUAAUUAGUAAGGCUGCUUGAGCUCAGAUUGUAAAGCUCAGUAUGCAUAUUAAACGAAUCUUCAGAUUUUUAUUUUUUUCCAUAAAUGUUACACAUUUUUAAAUAGUUUUAUGAAACAAGAAUACUAAAAUAUCUGUAGUAAGAUGCAUUCUCAGCUUCAUAAUAUCCAUCUGUACAUCCAGACACAUAUUUUUCCCAAACAUAUAUUAGGAUUAGAUGUAAAAUUACAUUUCUGAAUUUAUCUGAUUGAGAGAUAUGACAGGACCCUAAGUCAGUCAGAGCUGCAGGAAUCUGCCAAGAUUUCUCCUAUGGUGACAAGAUGAAUGAAAAUGUUAUAAAUAAAUAUAAAAUCUUCUUAAAAGAAGUUUAAUUGGGCUCUAAAAUGCAAUAGUAAAAUUUCUUUAACACAAAAAAAUGGAAACAGCAUAAAUAGACCUUCUCUGUUGACACUUCCUCUCCCCAUCACCUUAGAGGUUAUGGCUUUUGGCUUGACAUCUGAUUUUCAGAAAAUCUUUCCAGGAUCUCUGCCUCCCAGAAAGCCUUCGGUCACCUCCACAGAUAGCUUGCCUACUCCAAAGUUAGGAUACCAAAGGAUUCGAUUUCUUCUGCUUCUAUUCAACUGUUUCUAUCCAAUUAUUUCCUUUCCCCAAAAUUGUCUUUUAUCAAAUGGAAGAGAAAUAAACUAUAAAAAGAAUUUCUCAGAAACGGUAAGAAGAUAAACCAAACAGCAGUUUAGGGGUAGAGUUAUUGGACUUAGUGGUUGAAGUAAUGUUCUUCUAAACAUAAUCAGACCUGAAGAAAGAUUAGUUGAUGGCAUUCAUGAUGGAGUACUUUGAACUGAAACUUCUUGUACCAGUUAAUAAAUGGGUGCUGUUCUUUAGUCAGUGUCAGUAGGUCAAACCUGCAGUAUGCAGCUGUUUUAUAGUAACUUCGGAGGGUAGGAGAGAAAACUGUGAAAUGCUCAGGAAUGUGGAAGUAGUAAGCCUGUCCUUGCUGAGUAUUUUCUGAAAAAAAAAAGAAGUGUCUUUUCGCAGUCACUAAUCUAUGGAUUUUCUGCAUGUACAUGUUGCUAACCCAAGGCUGUAGCUCUAGAAACGAGAGCAGAAGAUUGAAGAUAAAACUACUAUUUCAUAAUUUAGAAAUUUAGGCAAAUAAGUAACCUAGGUUUCUCUUAAUUCAUGCCAAAAUUAGAGGAAUGAAGUAGUCCAGUCGGUCAUCUCUAAUGCGAAUCCAGUAAAAGAAAAAAUAUCUCGGGGGAAUUAUACAAUUCCCUUGAUAUAAUCAUAUAUUUCCCUUGAAGUGUUUCCAAAGUAGAAUCUAUUCAUAUUAACAUCUUGAACUAUCUUCAUUUCCUAUCAGUAUUUAAACAAAACUAGAUGGUAGCUGAACUGCUACAAUUGGCUGUGGAUCCUUAUAACGCUUUAUUCAAACUAGUUACUUCAUUAAAAAAAAUCAAUUUCCAAUAUCAAUUCAUAGAAGUAAUCAGUCAUAUGAAUCUUCCUCUACUAUGCUAACUUUUUCUCUACCAAGAAACAUGAAAUGGCUUCAAACAUCAAAUGGAGGAUUUUACUCUUUAGUGGUCUCACUGCAUAAUUUUAACUUGAACAUCAAAAUUCCCUGUCUUCAUUUUGUUUAGUUUCAAAGAGAUUUAGGGUAUAAUAAUGUUUGCUAAGAAGGCAAAAACACUCUUUUAACUUGCUUGAGCCUACAUUUACGACAAUUUUCUUCUUUGCUAAGGCAUAUGACAUGAGCAACAAAUCCUUGCAAAAGAAGAUUUACUCGUAUAUAGUAUCUACAAUGAAUGUACCUUUCCUUUUUCAGAUUCAUAAGAAUUCAUAUAAGGCAGCAAUUGAGAAUUGGUCCUUAUACAUCUUUCAGAUGUUGAAGAUGUGCUGGAUGAACUUGACAGUUUCUUGAUUACCUUUUCUUUUUUUUUCCCUGCCUCUUUCUUUUUCUUUUUUUAAGCUAAUAGAGUGACAGAGUGUUCAUACAUUUUUUAUCAAUCAAUGAAGAUCCAGCAUGUAAAUGUUACUUUCACACUCUUUCACAAUUUCUCAUGCAUGCCUCCCACUCAUGACUUUGAUCAUCCACUAAGACUUUCAGUAUAUACAGAAUAUUUUAAAGCUGAAAGCACGAGUAUUUCAACAGUAAGCUGAAAAAUGAAACAAUUCACAUACAUACAUAUUGCUGCAAAUUGUUAAGGACAGUGAAGUUCUGCUAUUUCUAGGUAACUACAGAAAACAUAGCAUCUCUUAGAAAAGAUAUUAUUUGCUUUAUUAUGUUUUGAGUGUGCUAUUGUAUGUAGUUUUGUUUGCUUGUUUGUUUGUUUUAGUAGGUUGAAGAAAAUGAGAGAAACAUACGACUUGCUAGAACUAGUCAGUAUUUCAAAGGCCAACAUCUUCCAUAAAAUCCAAGACUUCGCAAACAUGGAAGAUUCAGAGAAAGAUGCUUUGAAUAAAAAGUUGCUUUGAAUUAGCCAAAAUACUUCUGAAAAAUGAAAACAUUUUUUUCAUUUGAUAUGUUUCUAGCUUGAGAACCAUUUGACCAAGUAUGUUGUGAGUUCUGCUUAAGUUUCUACUCUAUAUCAUCAUCAAAGACUAAGAUAAUGAAAAUUAUUUCUAUCCUCUUUAAUAAGUUUUAAAGCCUCUUACAUUAUUCUCAAUCUCAUUAGUAUUUACCUAUAAUCCAUUAGGGUAAAUAAUUAACUGUUUCAUCUUCAAUGUAAUUAGUAUCAUUGAAAGAUUCUCAGUGUAGGAUAGAUAUAACCACCAGCAUAUAAUGUACCCAAAGAGGAAAAGGAACAGCAAUUGUGCAGCAGUUACAGUGAGUUUUUUUUUUUUUUUAAAAAAACAAAGUUGUUCUUCCCCUACAAUAUCACUAUCAUUUUAUCUAUUCUAGCAAACAUCAGAUGUCUAUAUAUGAUUCAAUUUUCCUUUCAGUAUUUGUGUUGGUAUGCUAUUCCCAGAGAUAGAUGAAUUUUUUUAGUUUGUUUUUCUAUAUCAAACUAAAUUACAUCUCAUUAGAAAACAUAUAUGCAUAUAGAAAGAGGAGUUACAUUUUUGCACAAUUGUUAGUUGGACUCCAUUGGUUUAAUACUUCUUUAUAGUUGUCACUUAUUCUUUUUUUAAAAAAACACUACAUGUAAGAAAGAGCGUUGACUCUUUCCACUGCUAUCUCCUUCUAUUGUCUGGGCAACAACCCUGCAUGUUUUUCCUCUGUGAAUGCCCUGCCUCAUAAAUCUUUUUUUGACUCAGUCUUCCUUAGGUGCAUUUGUUACUGACCAAACCUUACUCAGUCUAAUACUAAUGGCUACACUUCAGGUUUGAUCCUUUUACUGUCUCAAAGUCUUUUAUUUCAGGACCUGCCUCAAAAUCCUCAGCCAGUAAUGAAAAGGGAGAGCAACUUUCUGAAUAGGUGCCAGUUAGAAUGCACUAGACAGAAGGCAAGUGGAAUGCCCAAAAAUUUUUAAUGAUUUGCUCAUUUUCUUCCCCAUUUCCUUUACAUUAUAGACGGGAACUUUAUACACCAACAAGAGCAGCAACACUCAUCGAUUGUAUGGUGUUUCAUGUUUUCUUGCAAAAUCUUUAUUGUCUAUCCUUUCUAAUCCCUGUUGACACAGUUCUAUCAGCUCUUAAGUCCUAUUUCCACUAAAUCUCCCAGUACCUUUUCUCCCCGAAUGGAACUAACCUCUACCAAACUCUGUCAAAUCUUUCAGUCAAGUCUGCUGUUUUUGUUUUUGUUUGUUUGUUUGUUGCUUGUUGUUUGUUUUUUGAACUUGGACUAGAGGAGAGGAUCUGAAAUUUUUAUCUUGAAAACUUUAUAAUUAAUUCACUUGAAAUAACAUAAAUGCAGUAACAGCCCUUCAAAAUUCCACAUAAUUCUGGAAUGAGAUCUAGUACUUCACGUUGCUGCAGGUGAACAACUCUAGAUUGAUAGAUCGUCCAUUCUCCAUAUGAGGAUACAUUUUUCAAACACAACUGGCUUCUUACCCAUCUGGAAUUAAUGAAGAAAAGAAAAAUUUCUCUAAGAAACAGCUAGAAACAGAAUAUAUUUUUUAUAUUUUUUGCCAUAUAUAUAUAUCCAACCAGAAUUAUCCUACAUACUCAGCUGAGUGAUGAAGUGAUAUUCAUUGUUAGUGCAAAUACUUCUGCAGAGCACUGAACUCUGUACCCUUAGGAGGAAUAAAGCUCCGGUGCAGUACAUGUCCAGUUUUUAUUAGAAUAGUAAGAAUUAUCAAUGUCAUGAAGUCACUCACUUUAUAUUCUCAUUUGACGGUACUUCUGGAAGUUCCACAGUUAUCAUGCCAUCUAAGUUCGUUUUUCCAAUGAAGACUGGCUUGGUGCGAAGCACAUCUGGUGCAGUCUUUGCUGUCACUCUGUGCUGAAGACCUCCAGCACUGUUCCCUCUGUUUGUCAGCACAAAUGAAUAUGAUGUCUCUGGCUUCAAGUUAGUGAUCAGUUUUUGAGUAGCACGUCCAUCAACCUCCAUCACCAUUUUGCCAUCGUCAUAAAGGAUCUAAGUUCUCUGGCACUCAGCAAAUCAGAUUCUUACUGACAGAACUUCUGACUACCAUUCCGAAAUGAAUUAGGAACAUAUACAGAAGAAUGGCAUGGCAUGGCUUGAGAAAAAUUAUCUUUCCUUAUUAUAUCUGCUGAUGAGUCUUGACAUUGCUUCUACAUGAAUUUGAAUUAUUGCUAGUUUUUAUAAAAAUUUUCCAAAUAUCUUUUUUUUUUUUUUUUUUUUUUAAAUGCCUAACCCACUUGCAGAUUGACUCCUAGAAACUUUUCUCUUCUGUUACAUAAAACUUUGUCUGGUUCUGCAUUCUUUUAUUAUGAGCCUUUAUGGAACAAAAAAAAAAGGCUAUGAAGGACUUUAACAGGCUAUAUUUGUCUUUGCAUUGGAACUAUUACUGAAACUACUGCAGCAUACAAAAGAGAAGAAGAGUCCAUACAAAUAGAUAACUCCUUCAGCUUUCUAGGAGAAAUACUGUUGAAAGUGGUUGUGAUUUAUUAACAUGAUACACUGGUGGAUAUUACAGUUAAUGCUACUUUUAACUUUGAUGGUAUAUACAGAAAAGGAAAUAAAUUAAUACUUGUUAUUGAUCAGAAGAACAUUAAAGCUGUGAUUAAAGUAGUAAAUAACAAUGUACAUAUUAUUUAAAAUUUUAGUAUGGAGCCUAUAUGAUUCUGAGAAGUAUAUGAUUUUUAGCAUAGAACUGAUAGCCAGAACUUUGAGAAUAACAUUAACUUGUUGAAAGCCCAGAGGAGGGCCAUGAAGAUGUUCAGAUGGCUGGAGCAGGCUGAGAGUUGGGACUGUUCAGCCUGGUGAAGAGAAGGCUGUUCUUGUAGCAGUUCUCUAGUAGUUAAAAGGGAGCCUACAAGAAAGCAGGAGAGGGACUUUUUGCAUGGCCAUGUAGUAACAGGACAAUGUGUAGAGGGUAGAUUUAAAUUAGAUAUAAGAAAGAUGUUCUUCACCCUGGUGGUGGGAGGCACUGGAACAGUUUGCCCAGACAAUUCGUAGAUUCCUUAGUACUGUAAAUGUUCAAGACCAGGUUGAAUGGGAGUCUGAACAAACAGACAUGGAGGAAGGUGUCCCUGUCCAGGGCAGUAGGCUGGAAAUAGAUGAUCUUUAAGGUUCCUUGCAACUCAAAUUAUUCUAUGAUCAAUAAAAAAAAAAUGUUUUGAUCUCUUUAUUUCUUGAUAACAUUCAGUUAGUAUCAUCUUUAAGUACUAUCACUUGUGAAUAUCACAGCCUUGCGAGACAAACUGCAGGAUUCUGUACAGUCCUAUGUAUAAAAGUGUCAUGAAAUUGCCCUGUCUUGAAAUUUCUUCUGAUUACAAUCCCUGAAUUUGCUAAAAAUUCAAAUGAAAUUAAUGUCCAUUAAAAUGCAUAUUUUCAGAUUUAUUGAAGUAAACCUUCAUAACUACGUAGCAAGUUAUCUCUCAAAUCACAGUCAUAUCCAUCUAUAUCACUGUUAUUACAUCAGCUUGUUGUGAUGACAUAGUAUUGCCAUUAGAGGCACAUUCAAGCUGCCUUUGAUAUACUACCAUAGUAGCUUGUUUCCAUUAGCUGCUACGCAGUAUGUCAGCUGUCUUCAUGAGUAAGACACACACACACACAAAGAUCAGUGUUCCUACCUUUUUUACAUGAUUUGUAAGAUCUGUAGCUAUGCAUGGAUUAAACUUAAAAUGAAUUCUCUAUUUCAAGAGUGUUGUCCAGCACGGAGAGCAAAUUCUACACAACAGACAAGCAGUUGUAUUAAGAGACUCAAAAAUUUAAAGUUUGAAAAAAUUCUCCAGAAAAAAACGUGUGAUUUCACUGAUUAGUAAGUCAUCUUGCUUGUUGUCAGUAUCUUGUAAAUAUUAUAUUUUCACUAGUCAUUUUAGAUUUCCUAAUACUUUGAGUUUGGAAUGUUCAGUAAUAUUUUUUCUUCCAUUCAAUUUUUAAUACCAGGAUAUGAAAAUGAAUACAAGAUAAAAACACACCUUUCAAUGAAACUAUUAACAGCACUCUUAACUUCACUAAUAACUGCAGUUACCAUAAUGUAGACAUUUACAUUUGGUGACUUUCUUCUGUCUAAUAAUGAAAAUUAUGAUUUUAUAUCACUGAUCAGGCAAAGCUGAGUAGAUAUUUUUUAUCUGAAUAAUUGCUUUUAACUCAUUACUCUUGAAUAGUAAGCUUGUCCAGUAAACAUUUAGACACACACUCACCUUUCAUAAAUGCUAUAUUUUAUGGACAUAAUCUCAUUCAUUUUCAUACAUCUGUACUUUUAAAACUAGACUAGAAAGUUAGACCCAUCACUUGUUUUAUUUUAAUGUGUAAAUAUAUCAUUUUUAGGAAAAAAGUGAAAAUCAAAUGGAAUCUCAAAAAGGAGAUUUUACUUCAAGUCUACAAGCCCUGGUAUUAAAGCGUCACUCCUUCUUCUGUAUGAUGAAUUCUUACACCAAGCAAGUGAAAUAGAAAUUCCUGGUAUUGACUGCAUGUAAUAUUUCAUUUUUUAAAUACCUAUGUUUGAAUUUUCAGUACAAUGUGAGAUCAACCACAGCAAGUUGUAACAGCAAAGUGAAGAUGCUCUUAUAAACUAGAAGAUAGGAAGGAGAAAAAUGGUAACUAGCUUUUACUUCAGAAACCAGGAACAAGGACUCCUUGUCCAUAAGGAGAAGCAAAUGGCAAGAACAAUGUAACAACAAUGUUACAUGUUCAUGAACAAUGUAACAACAAUGUAAUGUCUGACAUUUAAAGAAAUGUCUAAUUCUUGGUCGUUCUCCAGUCACUUAGGGUUUUAUAAAACACAGGAUUUGUUUAGUUUUCUAAAGAAACAUCAGAGAUCAUAGAAGAAUGAACUGUGAAUAAUCAAUGAGAACAAAAUACAUAAGAGUUUCAAGUUCUACAAGCAGAUUUGCAAAGCUUAUACUUCGGUCUGUACACUAACCAAGUCAUGAUCAAUGUAAUUGUGUUUAUGUAAACUGGAAACUGAACUUUAAAAACAAUUUUGGAUCAAG
This is a long non-coding RNA of Numida meleagris (helmeted guineafowl), 10731 nucleotides long. RefSeq lists it as uncharacterized. The record is from RefSeq and is a predicted model, not a curated record. The transcript is spliced from 3 exons. NCBI's taxonomy places the organism in Eukaryota, Metazoa, Chordata, Aves, Galliformes, Numididae.